This 1325-nucleotide ribosomal RNA is filed under the name uncultured bacterium. RNAcentral's name for it is "bacterial SSU rRNA". It matches the Rfam family "Bacterial small subunit ribosomal RNA", at positions 41 to 1389 of the family's 1533-position model. The record is from RNAcentral.
GGGGUGGAUAAGACAUGCAAGUCGAACGGGAGAAUUGCUAGCUUGCUAAUAAUUCUCUAGUGGCGCACGGGUGAGUAACACGUGAGUAACCUGCCCCCGAGAGCGGGAUAGCCCUGGGAAACUGGGAUUAAUACCGCAUAGUAUCGAAAGAUUAAAGCAGCAAUGCGCUUGGGGAUGGGCUCGCGGCCUAUUAGUUAGUUGGUGAGGUAACGGCUCACCAAGGCGAUGACGGGUAGCCGGUCUGAGAGGAUGUCCGGCCACACUGGAACUGAGACACGGUCCACACACCUACGGGUGGCAGCAGUCGAGAAUCAUUCACAAUGGGGGAAACCCUGAUGGUGCGACGCCGCGUGGGGGAAUGAAGGUCUUCGGAUUGUAAACCCCUGUCAUGUGGGAGCAAAUUAAAAAGAUAGUACCACAAGAGGAAGAGACGGCUAACUCUGUGCCAGCAGCCGCGGUAAUACAGAGGUCUCAAGCGUUGUUCGGAAUCACUGGGCGUAAAGCGUGCGUAGGCUGUUUCGUAAGUCGUGUGUGAAAGGCGCGGGCUCAACCCGCGGACGGCACAUGAUACUGCGAGACUAGAGUAAUGGAGGGGGAACCGGAAUUCUCGGUGUAGCAGUGAAAUGCGUAGAUAUCGAGAGGAACACUCGUGGCGAAGGCGGGUUCCUGGACAUUAACUGACGCUGAGGCACGAAGGCCAGGGGAGCGAAAGGGAUUAGAUACCCCUGUAGUCCUGGCAGUAAACGGUGCACGCUUGGUGUGCGGGGAAUCGACCCCCUGCGUGCCGGAGCUAACGCGUUAAGCGUGCCGCCUGGGGAGUACGGUCGCAAGAUUAAAACUCAAAGAAAUUGACGGGGACCCGCACAAGCGGUGGAGUAUGUGGCUUAAUUCGAUGCAACGCGAAGAACCUUACCUGGGCUUGACAUGUAAUGAACAACAUGUGAAAGCAUGCGACUCUUCGGAGGCGUUACACAGGUGCUGCAUGGCCGUCGUCAGCUCGUGUCGUGAGAUGUUUGGUUAAGUCCAGCAACGAGCGCAACCCCUGUUGCCAGUUACCAGCACGUGAAGGUGGGGACUCUGGCGAGACUGCCCAGAUCAACUGGGAGGAAGGUGGGGACGACGUCAGGUCAGUAUGGCCCUUAUGCCCAGGGCUGCACACGUACUACAAUGCCCAGUACAGAGGGGGCCGAAGCCGCGAGGCGGAGGAAAUCCUAAAAACUGGGCCCAGUUCGGACUGUAGGCUGCAACCCGCCUACACGAAGCCGGAAUCGCUAGUAAUGGCGCAUCAGCUACGGCGCCGUGAAUACGUUCCCGGGUCUUGCAAU